UUUAUUUGCGUGCCAAAGUUGGUAACUGUAAACGAAGAGACCAUAUUUGCAGAGAGCAGCAAUUUCAAUCUUCACAUGUAGAAGACGAACUUUUGGAAUUGAUUCCCCAACUUUUGAUUCUUCUCCAUUCCGAGUUUGCAGCCUUUCAUUUUCAACGGAUGCUUUUGGUUUCCACUGUUCUUCUUCCCACCUAAUCGCUCAGCUUGGAAGUUUUCAUUGGAAUGGGAUUCUUCAGCACCGUAUUCGGAAUUCUCGGAUUCGGAAUCGGACUUCCUCUCGGACUCUUGAUCGGAUUCUUACUUUUCGUCUACUCGGAGCCUAAAGAUGUUAAGGAACCAGUUACGAGGCCUCUCUGUGAGUUGGACACAACUUCUUUGCAAAAUCUAAUGCCUGAAAUUCCAUUGUGGGUGAAAUACCCUGAUUAUGAUCGAAUGGACUGGUUAAACAAGUUUUUAUCGGACAUUUGGCCAUACCUUGAUAAGGCAAUUUGUGGUAGUAUAAGAGCGAUUGCCAAACCUAUAUUUUCAGAAUAUAUAGGGAAGUUUCAGAUUGAGGCUAUCGAGUUUGAGCAGCUAAGCCUUGGAACUCUUUCUCCAAAAUUUCAUGGUCUAAAAGUGUAUGAAACAAAUGAGAAUGAACUAGUGAUGGAACCAGCUAUCAAAUGGGCUGGCAAUCCUAAUAUAGUAGUGGCGGUGAAUAUCUUGUCUCUCCGGAUCAAAAUUCAGUUUGUAGAUCUACAGAUAUUUGCAAUGCCACGGUUGACUCUAAAGCCUCUUGUGCCUACUUUUCCUUGCUUUGCCAAUAUUGUAGCAUCUUUACUCGAAAAGCCACAAAUAGACUUUGGAUUGAAGAUAAUGGGAGCAGACAUCAUGUCUGUACCUGGCCUCUAUCGAUUUAUUCAGGAGACAAUAAAGAAACAAGUUGCAAGUCUCUACCUAUGGCCUCGAGUUCUUGAAAUUCCUAUCCUCGAUUCUUCCACAUUGGCUACAAGAAAGCCUGCGGGGAUUUUACACGUGAAGGUCGUACGAGCUACAAAACUCUUGAGGAUGGAUAUUUUAGGAACAUCCGAUCCAUAUGUCAAACUUAGACUGAUUGGUGGGGGGCCAGCAAAGAAAACGAGUGUCAAAAUGAGGAACUUGAAUCCUGUGUGGAAUGAGAAGUUCAAGCUUCUUGUGCAUGAUCCCAAGUCUCAAGUUCUUCAGUUAAAAGUUUAUGACUGGGACAAGGUUGGUGGACAUGAUAGAUUAGGAAUGCAGCUAGUUCCACUAAAUAUGCUUACGCCCUACAACACCAAGGAACUCGUGCUUGACUUGCAAAAGAACACAGAUAUCAACGAUCCCCAAAACAAGAAGCCUAGAGGAAAACUUGAAGUGGAGCUCAUGUAUACUCCUUUAAGAGAAGAAAGCAUGAGAGCUCUUGAAAACUCAAACAGUGACGUUCAGAGUGAAAGCAGAAGCAAUGUCGACAUUCAGAGUGAAAGCAGAAGCAAUGUCGAGCCGGAGAACCAGACAUCGGACAGAGCAGGUGUAUUAUCUGUGAAGGUCCAGGGAGCUUGGAAUGUCGAAGGGGAGAAGCACAACAAUCCUUAUGCUGUUAUACACUUGAGAGGCGAGAAGAGGAAAACGAAGAUGAUCAAGAAAACUCGUGACCCUUCAUGGAAUGAAGAAUUCCCAUUUAUGCUAGAGGAGCCUCCAAUUAAAGAAAAGAUUCAUAUCGAAGUUAUGAGCAAACGGACUGUCUUUAGCUUUCUGCACAAGGAAUCAUUGGGCCAUGUGGAAAUCAAUCUCGGGGAUGUGGUAAACAACGGGAGGAUAAACGAGAAGUACAAUCUGAUUAAUUCAAAGCACGGGAAGAUUCAUGUGGAAAUGCAAUGGACAAUGGCUUAAGAACUGGGAGUGAAGCCAUUUUGAGUGUACAAAGCUCCGAUAGAUUCCUCAUGGAAAGAAGAGGCCCAAGCGUUGAAAUUCCCUCAGCAAAUCAGGGGUAGGGAGGCAAAAAAUUAUCCGAGUAGAUCUCAUAUGCAACACGGAGGGUGAAAUUGUACGAUGUUCGGUCGGUAGGCUUUGGAGUUCUGUUAUACUGUGUCUACCAUAUCUUGUAAAGCCUGAAAAAGAGUAAUAGCAAAUAAGUUGCAAUGAGAAAGAGUAAUACCCUUAG
Cucurbita maxima (winter squash) is the source of this 2157-nucleotide RNA transcript. It is a transcript of the gene named synaptotagmin-3-like, with no coding region annotated. NCBI's taxonomy places the organism in Eukaryota, Viridiplantae, Streptophyta, Magnoliopsida, Cucurbitales, Cucurbitaceae. The transcript is spliced from 14 exons. The record is from RefSeq and is a predicted model, not a curated record.